RNAcentral lists this long non-coding RNA (201 nucleotides) under Dunaliella salina. RNAcentral describes it as "long non-coding RNA (DSAL_LNC000034)". The record is from RNAcentral. Lineage: Eukaryota; Viridiplantae; Chlorophyta; Chlorophyceae; Chlamydomonadales; Dunaliellaceae.
GGCUAGAACUAUGCGGGGUGGUUGCCUGGUUGGCUGGAGGUUGGUAAUGCGUGUUAUGGAGACAUCAAGGAUGCUUGUAGGUAUGCUGAGCARAAGGGGUCUGUGGUCAYUCAAGUAACCAAGUUUGCAGGUAUAGCAAGGAUUGCAAAUAGAUGCAAGACCGGAGGGCAGAAUGAUGUCGUCGAUCCUGCCAAAGGAGUA